AACGCAUAUUGCGCCCUUUGGUAUUCCGAAGGGCAUGCCUGUUCGAGCGUCAUUAUCACCCCCUCAAGCCUGGCUUGUUGUUGGACCUUUUUUUGCCCGUCACAGGGCAGGUCCCAAAGAUAAUGACGGCGUCUGUGAAGACCCCAGUACACUGAGCUUUCGGGCACGUAUUGGUUUUUGUGUUUUUCAGACUGCCGGUCUCCUAAUUUGCCCACCGUCUCACGGUUGGGUGAAUACUUCUAAGGUUGACCUCGGAUCAGGUAGGAAUACCCGCUGAACUUAA
RNAcentral lists this unclassified non-coding RNA (283 nucleotides) under uncultured fungus. Its description in RNAcentral is "sequence contains ITS2". The stretch from base 1 to 52 matches the Rfam family "5.8S ribosomal RNA", at positions 103 to 154 of the family's 154-position model. The record is from RNAcentral. Lineage: Eukaryota; Fungi.